Jaculus jaculus (lesser Egyptian jerboa) is the source of this 104-nucleotide small nucleolar RNA. RefSeq annotates it as small nucleolar RNA U13. The record is from RefSeq and is a predicted model, not a curated record. The transcript has a single exon. NCBI's taxonomy places the organism in Eukaryota, Metazoa, Chordata, Mammalia, Rodentia, Dipodidae.
AACCUUUGUAGGGUUUUAAGUCAGAUGUUUGGAUGUCCAUGCACUUGCGUGACCUGUGCCUCCCACAAACCUUGUUACAAGAUGGGCACAUUACCUGUCUGAUG